Cinara cedri is the source of this 349-nucleotide non-coding RNA. NCBI's taxonomy places the organism in Eukaryota, Metazoa, Arthropoda, Insecta, Hemiptera, Aphididae. The record is from the annotation of a GenBank genome assembly.
AAAUAGAAUCCCAUUAGGCCAUUACAAGGCAUCUGUUACCACAGACGGCAUUUAUACAAGUGUACAACUUUACUAUAGUACCAAAUCGCGGCGGUUUAAAGUUUAAAUGUUUGAUUCAAAUCGGUACGCAGAUGUUUUGAUGGACACAUUAUGGAGCCACUGGUAUAUUUGCGGUAUGAGUUAAAUAUUUUUUAAUCCAUCGUCGUCUGAAUCUCUGCAUAUAUCAUCGCUUAUACACUUGUUUAGAUUAGAUUUCGGUCUGAUAAUGGUCGACUAACCAAUACAUUAUACGACGCUCGAGAUAGUAUUCUCGACUGCCUGAAACGCUGUCCAAUCGUAAAAUCUCCUA